This 404-nucleotide ribosomal RNA is filed under the name Actinomycetes bacterium. RNAcentral describes it as "Actinobacteria bacterium partial 16S ribosomal RNA". It matches the Rfam family "Bacterial small subunit ribosomal RNA", at positions 355 to 776 of the family's 1533-position model. Lineage: Bacteria; Bacillati; Actinomycetota; Actinomycetes. The record is from RNAcentral.
UGGGGAAUAUUGGACAAUGGGCGCAAGCCUGAUCCAGCCAUGCCGCGUGAGUGAUUAAGGCCCUAGGGUUGUAAAGCUCUUUCACCGUUGAUGAUAAUGACGGUAACCGGAGAAGAAGCCCCGGCUAACUCCGUGCCAGCAGCCGCGGUAAUACGAAGGGGGCUAGCGUUGUUCGGAUUUACUGGGCGUAAAGCGAACGUAGGCGGACUUUUAAGUCAGGGGUGAAAUACCGGGGCUCAACCCCGGAAGUGCCUUUGAUACUGGAAGGCUUGAGGAAGGUAGAGGUGAGGGGAAUUCCGAGUGUAGAGGUGAAAUUCGUAGAUAUUCGGAGGAAAAGCAGUGGCGAAGGCGGCUCACUGGACCAUUAAUGACGCUGAGGAGCGAAAGAGUGGGGAGCAAACAGG